UUUAGUUUUUGUCAUAAAUGUGUGUUUCGUUUAGGAUUAAAAAAAAAAAAAAGAAUACGCGUCAUGAUUUAUAUAGGGAGAUACUUAGUUAACAACUCUGUGGUAUUAUUUACUAAAAUAAAUUCGUGGCUGCGAUCCACCACAUCGAUGGCGGACAUGUUUGAAAUCCCAGAAUUGCAUCGGGGAGAAUUAGAAAAUGCUCUUGUUCGCUGCUUCCAGCAUUUGUACGGGAAUAUACCUGAACACAAUAUAUGAUCAAUACCAUAAUAAA
Molecule: long non-coding RNA, 271 nt
Organism: Daphnia magna
Lineage: Eukaryota; Metazoa; Arthropoda; Branchiopoda; Diplostraca; Daphniidae
Exons: 2
Source: RefSeq, a predicted model, not a curated record